UACGGAGGGUGCGAGCGUUAAUCGGAAUUACUGGGCGUAAAGCGCGCGUAGGCGGUUUGUUAAGUCAGCUGUGAAAGCCCCGGGCUCAACCUGGGAACUGCAGUUGAUACUGGCCGACUAGAGUACGAGAGAGGGAGGUAGAAUUCCAUGUGUAGCGGUGAAAUGCGUAGAUAUAUGGAGGAAUACCAGUGGCGAAGGCGGCCUCCUGGCUCGAUACUGACGCUGAGGUGCGAAAGCGUGGGGAUCAAAC
This 250-nucleotide ribosomal RNA is filed under the name uncultured Gammaproteobacteria bacterium. RNAcentral describes it as "partial 16S ribosomal RNA". It matches the Rfam family "Bacterial small subunit ribosomal RNA", at positions 524 to 773 of the family's 1533-position model. Lineage: Bacteria; Pseudomonadati; Pseudomonadota; Gammaproteobacteria. The record is from RNAcentral.